UUUCCAAUUUACUGCUGACGCUGCAUAUGUUGACGCAGGGCCGUGGUGCCAACAUUGACACCCUGGCCACGCUUCAACUUCUGCCCACAAAUUUGACAAAUGGUCAUGUUCACCUCCCCCGGC
Bufo bufo (common toad) is the source of this 123-nucleotide long non-coding RNA. RefSeq lists it as uncharacterized. Lineage: Eukaryota; Metazoa; Chordata; Amphibia; Anura; Bufonidae. The transcript has 3 exons. The record is from RefSeq and is a predicted model, not a curated record.